RNAcentral lists this ribosomal RNA (540 nucleotides) under Phocaeicola vulgatus. RNAcentral describes it as "bacterial SSU rRNA". It matches the Rfam family "Bacterial small subunit ribosomal RNA", at positions 89 to 626 of the family's 1533-position model. Lineage: Bacteria; Pseudomonadati; Bacteroidota; Bacteroidia; Bacteroidales; Bacteroidaceae. The record is from RNAcentral.
UGGCGACCGGCGCACGGGUGAGUAACACGUAUCCAACCUGCCGUCUACUCUUGGACAGCCUUCUGAAAGGAAGAUUAAUACAAGAUGGCAUCAUGAGUCCGCAUGUUCACAUGAUUAAAGGUAUUCCGGUAGACGAUGGGGAUGCGUUCCAUUAGAUAGUAGGCGGGGUAACGGCCCACCUAGUCUUCGAUGGAUAGGGGUUCUGAGAGGAAGGUCCCCCACAUUGGAACUGAGACACGGUCCAAACUCCUACGGGAGGCAGCAGUGAGGAAUAUUGGUCAAUGGGCGAGAGCCUGAACCAGCCAAGUAGCGUGAAGGAUGACUGCCCUAUGGGUUGUAAACUUCUUUUAUAAAGGAAUAAAGUCGGGUAUGCAUACCCGUUUGCAUGUACUUUAUGAAUAAGGAUCGGCUAACUCCGUGCCAGCAGCCGCGGUAAUACGGAGGAUCCGAGCGUUAUCCGGAUUUAUUGGGUUUAAAGGGAGCGUAGAUGGAUGUUUAAGUCAGUUGUGAAAGUUUGCGGCUCAACCGUAAAAUUGGCAG